AGCUGAUCAUUGGGCAUAAAGCGUGCGCAGGCGGUUUUGUAAGACAGAGGUGAAAUCCCCGGGCUCAACCUGGGAACUGCCUUUGUGACUGCAAGGCUGGAGUGCGGCAGAGGGGGAUGGAAUUCCGCGUGUAGCAGUGAAAUGCGUAGAUAUGCGGAGGAACACCGAUGGCGAAGGCAAUCCCCUGGGCCUGCACUGACGCUCAUGCACGAAAGCGUGGGGAGCAAACA
Molecule: ribosomal RNA, 230 nt
Filed under: uncultured Alicycliphilus sp.
Lineage: Bacteria; Pseudomonadati; Pseudomonadota; Betaproteobacteria; Burkholderiales; Comamonadaceae
Description: partial 16S ribosomal RNA
Rfam family: Bacterial small subunit ribosomal RNA
Source: RNAcentral